UACACAUGCAAGUCGAGGGCACCAGCAAUGGUGACCGGCGAACGGGUGCGUAACACGUGAGCGACCUUCCGAUCUGUGGGGGAUAGCCGGCCCAACGGCCGGGUAACACCGCAUACGCCGAGCGAGCUGCAUGGCUUGCUCGGGAAACCUCCGGGGCAGAUUGAGGGGCUCGCGGCCUAUCAGCUAGUUGGCGGGGUAAUGGCCCACCAAGGCGACGACGGGUAGCUGGUCUGAGAGGAUGGCCAGCCACAUUGGGACUGAGAGACGGCCCAGACUCCUACGGGAGGCAGCAGUGGGGAAUCUUGCGCAAUGGCCGCAAGGCUGACGCAGCGACGCCGCGUGUGGGAUGAAGCCCUUCGGGGUGUAAACCACUGUUGCCCGGGACGAACGGCGGGAUUUAUCCCGCGUGACGGUACCGGGUGAGGAAGCACCGGCUAACUCCGUGCCAGCAGCCGCGGUAAUACGGAGGGUGCGAGCGUUGUCCGGAAUCACUGGGCGUAAAGGGCGCG
RNAcentral lists this ribosomal RNA (509 nucleotides) under uncultured bacterium. RNAcentral's name for it is "bacterial SSU rRNA". It matches the Rfam family "Bacterial small subunit ribosomal RNA", at positions 50 to 571 of the family's 1533-position model. The record is from RNAcentral.